Molecule: non-coding RNA, 302 nt
Organism: Pelobates cultripes (western spadefoot toad)
Lineage: Eukaryota; Metazoa; Chordata; Amphibia; Anura; Pelobatidae
Source: the annotation of a GenBank genome assembly
CCCAUAACGGUGUACACCCUGAUGGUGGCACUGCACAUGUUAAUAAAAGCGUUUUGUUCUCUCAUAGUGACUCUAUUUUAAUCUGUAUUUGACAUUAAAGCACAAUAGUGAAAAGCAGAAAAAAUAAUUGAAAAAAAACAACAACAAAUGGAUGGAAAAAAAAAGCAAAUAUUCUGCCAUUAAGAUGCUUUAACUAACCCGUGUGACAGUUUUCAUAAGUUAUCGGCGGCUGUAAACCAAGAUGUUAAAUUGUCUGGCUGUUCUAUUAACUGCAAAUAAUCCUAUCCCCUUAGCCGCAGCCA